GUCUACGGCCACACCACCCUGAACACACCCGAUCUCGUCUGAUCUCGGAAGAAAAAGAAGGAGAGGGCCAGAUGAUGCACACUUGGUAGAGGGUACAUGUUGCCAUGCUUG
RNAcentral lists this ribosomal RNA (111 nucleotides) under Erinaceus europaeus (western European hedgehog). Lineage: Eukaryota; Metazoa; Chordata; Mammalia; Eulipotyphla; Erinaceidae. The record is from RNAcentral.